AGACUGGGAUAACUUCGGGAAACCGGAGCUAAUACCGGAUAAUAUAUUGAACCGCAUGGUUCAAUAGUGAAAGACGGUUUUGCUGUCACUUAUAGAUGGAUCCGCGCCGCAUUAGCUAGUUGGUAAGGUAACGGCUUACCAAGGCAACGAUGCGUAGCCGACCUGAGAGGGUGAUCGGCCACACUGGAACUGAGACACGGUCCAGACUCCUACGGGAGGCAGCAGUAGGGAAUCUUCCGCAAUGGGCGAAAGCCUGACGGAGCAACGCCGCGUGAGUGAUGAAGGUCUUCGGAUCGUAAAACUCUGUUAUUAGGGAAGAACAAAUGUGUAAGUAACUAUGCACGUCUUGACGGUACCUAAUCAGAAAGCCACGGCUAACUACGUGCCAGCACCCGCGGUAAUACGUAGGUGGCAAGCGUUAUCCGGAAUUAUUGGGCGUAAAGCGCGCGUAGGCGGUUUUUUAAGUCUGAUGUGAAAGCCCACGGCUCAACCGUGGAGGGUCAUUGGAAACUGGAAAACUUGAGUGCAGAAGAGGGAGAGUGGGAAUUCCAUGUGUAGCGGUGAAAUGCGCAGAGAUAUGGAGGAACACCAGUGGCGAAGGCGACUUUCUGGUCUGUAACUGACGCUGAUGUGCGAAGCGUGGGGAUCAAACAGGAUUAGAUACCCCUGGUAGUCCACGCCGUAACCGAUGAGUGCUAAGUGUUAGGGGGUUUCCGCCCCUUAGUGCUGCAGCUAACGCAUUAAGCACUCCGCCUGGGGAGUACGACCGCAAGGUUGAAACUCAAAGGAAUUGACGGGGACCCGCACAAGCGGUGGAGCAUGUGGUUUAAUUCGAAGCAACGCGAAGAACCUUACCAAAUCUUGACAUCCUCUGACCCCUCUAGAGAUAGAGUUUUCCCCUUCGGGGGACAGAGUGACAGGUGGUGCAUGGUUGUCGUCAGCUCGUGUCGUGAGAUGUUGGGUUAAGUCCCGCAACGAGCGCAACCCUUAAGCUUAGUUGCCAUCAUUAAGUUGGGCACUCUAAGUUGACUGCCGGUGACAAACCGGAGGAAGGUGGGGAUGACGUCAAAUCAUCAUGCCCCUUAUGAUUUGGGCUACACACGUGCUACAAUGGACAAUACAAAGGGCAGCGAAACCGCGAGGUCAAGCAAAUCCCAUAAAGUUGUUCUCAGUUCGGAUUGUAGUCUGCAACUCGACUAUAUGAAGCUGGAAUCGCUAGUAAUCGUAGAUCAGCA
RNAcentral lists this ribosomal RNA (1235 nucleotides) under Staphylococcus epidermidis. RNAcentral describes it as "bacterial SSU rRNA". It matches the Rfam family "Bacterial small subunit ribosomal RNA", at positions 135 to 1354 of the family's 1533-position model. The record is from RNAcentral. Lineage: Bacteria; Bacillati; Bacillota; Bacilli; Caryophanales; Staphylococcaceae.